GACGAACGCUGGCGGCGUGCUUAACACAUGCAAGUCGAACGGAAAGGCCCUGCUUUUGUGGGGUGCUCGAGUGGCGAACGGGUGAGUAACACGUGAGUAACCUGCCCUUGACUUUGGGAUAACUUCAGGAAACUGGGGCUAAUACCGGAUAGGAGCUCCUGCUGCAUGGUGGGGGUUGGAAAGUUUCGGCGGUUGGGGAUGGACUCGCGGCUUAUCAGCUUGUUGGUGGGGUAGUGGCUUACCAAGGCUUUGACGGGUAGCCGGCCUGAGAGGGUAACCGGCCACAUUGGGCCUGAGAUACGGCCCAGACUCCUACGGGAGGCAGCGGUGGGGAAUAUUGCACAAUGGGCGGGAGCCUGAUGCAGCCACGCCGCGUGCGGGAUGACGGCCUUCGGGUUGUAAACCGCUUUCGCCUGUGACGAGGCGUGAGUGACGGUAAUGGGUAAAGAAGCACCGGCUAACUACGUG
Molecule: ribosomal RNA, 468 nt
Filed under: uncultured bacterium
Lineage: Bacteria
Description: partial 16S ribosomal RNA
Rfam family: Bacterial small subunit ribosomal RNA
Source: RNAcentral